GUAGUGACGAAAAAUAACGAUACGGGACUCAUCCGAGGCCCCGUAAUCGGAAUGAGUACACUUUAAAUCCUUUAACGAGGAUCCAUUGGAGGGCAARUCUGGUGCCAGCAGCCGCGGUAAUUCCAGCUCCAAUAGCGUAUAUUAAAGUUGUUGCGGUUAAAAAGCUCGUAGUUGAAUCUGUGUGUCACGAUGUUGGUUCACCGCUCGCGGUGUUUAACUAGCAUGCCGUGAGACGUCCUACCGGUGGGCUUAGCUCUUCACGGGGCGGUCCAACUAAUAUCCCAUCGCGGUGCUCUUCAUUGAGUGUCGAGGUGGGCCGGUACGUUUACUUUGAACAAAUUAGAGUGCUUAAAGCAGGCUAUCUUCGCCUGAAUACUGUGUGCAUGGAAUAAUGGAAUAGGACCUCGGUUCUAUUUUGUUGGUUUUCGGAACCCCGAGGUAAUGAUUAAUAGGGACAGAUGGGGGCAUUCGUAUUGCGACGUUAGAGGUGAAAUUCUUGGAUCGUCGCAAGACGGACAGAAGCGAAAGCAUUUGCCAAAAAUGUUUUCAUUAAUCAAGAACGAAAGUUAGAGGUUCGAAGGCGAUCAGAUACCGCCCUAGUUCUAACCAUAAACGAUGCCAGCUAGCGAUCCGCCGAAGUUCCUCCGAUGACUCGGCGGGCAGCUUCCGGGAAACCAAAGCUUUUGGGUUCCGGGGGAAGUAUGGUUGCAAAGCUGAAACUUAAAGGAAUUGACGGAAGGGCACCACCAGGAGUGGAGCCUGCGGCUUAAUUUGACUCAACACGGGAAACCUCACCAGGCCCGGACACCGGAAGGAUUGACAGAUUGAUAGCUCUUUCUUGAUUCGGUGGGUGGUGGUGCAUGGCCGU
This 868-nucleotide ribosomal RNA is filed under the name Endasys sp. BFS-2018. RNAcentral's name for it is "SSU rRNA". It matches the Rfam family "Eukaryotic small subunit ribosomal RNA", at positions 466 to 1302 of the family's 1831-position model. Lineage: Eukaryota; Metazoa; Arthropoda; Insecta; Hymenoptera; Ichneumonidae. The record is from RNAcentral.